UUUCAUAUUGUUAAACAAUCGUUUAUUGUUACAUGAAAGUAUGGUCAAAUUUUACUGAUUAUCUUAUGUUGUACUUCACAGUUGCAAAACGUGUUUUUCGAUAGUAGCGCACUCUGGCUAGUGAUUAUUAUGAGGUUAGACACAGGUACAAGCUAUUAAAAAUAUUGUGUGAAAAGGUGUAUUUGAUAUUACAGUGACGAAAAAUUGUUGUAGCAUCCAAGUAUGCUCUCUUAAUCAUUCUUAUCUCUAAUAAUCAAGGGAAGAGAAUAAUGUUACAGAUAUAAUCAUAUAUAUUUUUGGUUGCUUCCUCAUAUUAUCAGUAAUUAGGAUCUCUGCAUUAGAAGAUCUUUCUGAAUUUGCACAUCAACAAUGACAUACAAUUUAUAAUUGUAGUCAUCAAAUAUGGAAUCCU
Non-coding RNA from Nylanderia fulva, 412 nucleotides. NCBI's taxonomy places the organism in Eukaryota, Metazoa, Arthropoda, Insecta, Hymenoptera, Formicidae. The record is from RefSeq and is a predicted model, not a curated record.